AUAAAUUCCUCUCUGAACGUUUCUUCAACAUUUCGCUUUCUGUCGGAUGACCUGCUCAGGUACUCCAUCUGUUCUUUACUGUUUUCUAUUUCUAUAGAGCCUUUAAAUCUGUCUCUCAACCUUUCCUGAAGAUUUAUGUUUCUCUCGGACAACCUGCGUAGGUACUUCUUCAUGGUUUAAGUAAAAUUUACAUGUUUCUUCCAUCCUUUGCUGUUUCUCCCAUUUCUAAUUUGUGUUCUGUUUUGCUCUUUCUCUGAUUGUUAAAUUCGCGCCUGUACACUAUAUUAAGCCAUAUUACACUGUAUGCAUGUACUGCAAACUUCUGAUGAAUAAUUGCAUGUAUUGGUCUAUUACACUGUGUUCACCAUCAAACCACACCCUUUCAAUGCUUCAAACAUUCUGCUUACAAUGCUUUUUCCAUUUGUCUUUCCGCUAUUGUUUACGCUUUCAAACUCUUCUAUUUUGUGAUGGUUUUUCCCUUUUUCGAUCUGAAGCUCUGUAAAUCUAUUUCAUGUUAAUGUUAGAUUUAAUCCUAUUGCCCGUUCGUAAACUCAUCAAAUUUUUGCAGCAAAUCUUUUUUUCCCGCUUUGUCUCAAUGGGCUUACAUGGAUAUUCCCGCAUUCAUCUCAACCUUAGUUUUCCUGCUUAAACGUUUUCUCAUUUCUGACAUAUGGUCUAUCCUCACGUGUUCGGUAUUCACAGGUUUUAUAUGACUUCGCUUUCAUUUCCCUCAAUACUUGUCCACACAAAUUCAUUGCCAAAAGGAAAGAAAAUAUUCCCUGUAAUAUAAUUACUCAUUCAUUUCUUGUGUUCCGUAUGUAGUUGUAGCUUAUUUCAUAUUCACUUUGCCACAAUUCAAUAUUCCUAAAUACUCACUUUGUUUCGCAGGAAAUUCUCUCCAACUCAAACAUACAAAUACCACUGAUACAGAACACCCUGCACAGUCUGCAGCAGCCUCUUCGUUAUCCCAACCUUAGAGGGAUUCUUUCAACUGUUGACGCACACUGUAUAUAGGAGCUACCCAGUCGACAACAUUCCCAGGCAUCCCUCACUUGCUCACAGGUACCUUAUAUGCUUUCUCACAUGAACCAAUUUAUUGGAUAUUUUUCUCCAUAUAUUUGUUUAUUACUCCUAUUUUUCACAAAGGAUCAUAGAACUCACCAAAAAUAACAAACUCUAAUCACAAUAAGAUAUUGAGAUACAAAAUUUUAACAAUUGCGAGAAGAGCUUUUGAUGAAGUCUAUAUCUUCAUGACUUUAAAGCUUGUGUUUGCCUCAUUAUCACAUCAAAAAAUGUAUGCAAUUUGUUCUGCAAAUGCAAAUGAAAUGUACAGGUAAAAAUUAGAAAGAAAUCAGUGGUAGGAAGAGGAAGAAUACAACAUUUGCCUCUACAGCUGCUUUGCUAAGAAAUAAGCGCAAUACACCUGCUUAUACAAAAGCAAAAGUGAUUUAAUGGCCAAUCAAAUUAAUCUUUCAUAUAAUUUAAUUCAUGAGUCCUUUCGUUUGUUCCAUAUGUUGUUCUAACUUAUUUCCUAUUGCAAUUGUUCAAAUUCAAUAUUCCUAAAUAGUAACUCUAUUUCACAGGAGAUUGCCCACAGCUAAAACAUAGAAAUAACGCUGAUACAGAACAGUGUGCAGGCUGUGCAUCUGACUCUUCAUUAUGACCACCUUAGAGGGAUUGCUUCCACUCCUCACGCAAACCGUAUAUACCGGCUAGCCAGUCCACAAGAUUGACACACAUCCCACACGUUCUCACAGGUACGUUAUGUGCUUUUUCUCAUAAUGUACACAAUUUCAGAUACCAGUGAUAUACAAUGGCCUGCACCGUAUGCAGCAGCAUCUUCAUUACCGUCACCUUAGAGCGAUUGCUUCAACUGCCAACACAAAUCGUAUAUACAGCCUGUGUUCUUGGCUCUUUUCUGUUUGUCUACAUCUCUCUCAAGCUUUGGUGAAGGUUUCUGUUUAUCUCCGACGAACUGCGCAGGUUCUUCAUCGUCGUUUAACCGGAAUUUCAAUGUCCACUCCAUCUCUUCUUUACUGUUUUCUCUUUCUCUACAGACUUUAAAUCUGUCGCUGAAGCUUUGCUGAAGAUUUCUGUUUCUCUCCUACGAGCUGCGCAGGUACUUCUUCAUCGUUUAAGCGACCCUAAUUUCUCUCCCUCUGAACUCUAAGUUCUACCUCUGAACUCUUCAAUGGCGAAUCCAUCUGUUCUUUACUGUUUUCGGUUUGUCUGCAGCCUAUAAAUUCCUCUCUGAACGUUUCUUCAACAUUUCGCUUUCUGUCGGAUGACCUGCUCAGGUACUCCAUCUGUUCUUUACUGUUUUCUAUUUCUAUAGAGCCUUUAAAUCUGUCUCUCAACCUUUCCUGAAGAUUUAUGUUUCUCUCGGACAACCUGCGUAGGUACUUCUUCAUGGUUUAAGUAAAAUUUACAUGUUUCUUCCAUCCUUUGCUUACACUCACAUAGUACGCAAAAAACUACAUAAGAAAAAGAAACACUAUAAUACAAAAUACAACUUUCAUCCUUUACUUUAGUUUUGUUUCCGAAUGUCAAUUCAAAGGAGAAAGCAUUGUUUAGUUGCUGUUUCUUUUGUUACUUCCUAUGUCCUGUAUUCCUACACAAGGACAGAAAAUUUCUACAAACUUGCCAAACUUUUGUACUAUCUUCAAAAUCCAAACUAACAAAAUUUAUUGUCUUUUCCCACAGAUUUUCUACAACGUAUUCGUUUGUGUGUGAAUCAUACAAAAGGUCAUCAUUUGUUUCUGCUACAUGUUUGCUGUUUAUAUAUUUACCCCCACCAAAUAUAUUUGAAAGCUGUAUCCUUCCUUUGCAUCUAAUUUUUGCAGCAAAUCUUUUUUUCCCGCUUUGUCUCAAUGGGCUUACAUGGAUAUUCCCGCAUUCAUCUCAACCUUAGUUUUCCUGCUUAAACGUUUUCUCAUUUCUGACAUAUGGUCUAUCCUCACGUGUUCGGUAUUCACAGGUUUUAUAUGACUUCGCUUUCAUUUCCCUCAAUACUUGUCCACACAAAUUCAUUGCCAAAAGGAAAGAAAAUAUUCCCUGUAAUAUAAUUACUCAUUCAUUUCUUGUGUUCCGUAUGUAGUUGUAGCUUAUUUCAUAUUCACUUUGCCACAAUUCAAUAUUCCUAAAUACUCACUUUGUUUCGCAGGAAAUUCUCUCCAACUCAAACAUACAAAUACCACUGAUACAGAACACCCUGCACAGUCUGCAGCAGCCUCUUCGUUAUCCCAACCUUAGAGGGAUUCUUUCAACUGUUGACGCACACUGUAUAUAGGAGCUACCCAGUCGACAACAUUCCCAGGCAUCCCUCACUUGCUCACAGGUACCUUAUAUGCUUUCUCACAUGAACCAAUUUAUUGGAUAUUUUUCUCCAUAUAUUUGUUUAUUACUCCUAUUUUUCACAAAGGAUCAUAGAACUCACCAA
This 3439-nucleotide long non-coding RNA is filed under the name Solanum tuberosum (potato). Its description in RNAcentral is "long non-coding RNA (STUB_LNC008772)". The record is from RNAcentral. Lineage: Eukaryota; Viridiplantae; Streptophyta; Magnoliopsida; Solanales; Solanaceae.